Oryzias melastigma (Indian medaka) is the source of this 4649-nucleotide RNA transcript. It is a transcript of the gene named eph receptor B3a, with no coding region annotated. The record is from RefSeq and is a predicted model, not a curated record. The transcript is spliced from 16 exons. Lineage: Eukaryota; Metazoa; Chordata; Actinopteri; Beloniformes; Adrianichthyidae.
CCCCUAAGAGUCUGUGUUGCCAUUCCGACACAUCCUCGCAGAGGAGCAACAGAUCCACGGACCCACCCGGGCGGGCAGAGAGGGCUCCACGCACCCGCCGCGCGCACGACCUCCCUCCCCUCUCUCCCCCAUCUCCCUCCCUCAGCUGCGGCGGACAUGCGCCCCCGGACUGAGGCUCCUCACCCGUGAAGCCGCGAGCGCAGAAUGAGACGGACGGAGAGCGCAGCGUGAGCGCUCCAGCUGCACCGCAGUGCCCGCCGCGGAGGAGCGUCCGAAUGCGCUUUGGGUGGCAUCCCCGGGGCUUGUGAGAGAGAGAGAGACAGAGAGAGCCCCCACCGCCGAUGACAUGACAACGAAACGCGCUUGACUCUCCAUCCUUCCUUCCAUCCAUCCAUCCGAGCAGGUCCGGUCUGCGCCUUCAUUCAUGUUGCAAACGCCUGGUUUAUGACAAUGGAUUACUUGCUGUGGGUGUGCAGCCUGCUGGUCCCCGCGAUCGUGGCAGUGGAAGAAACCCUUAUGGACAGUCGGUGGGCUACCACAGAGCUGGCAUGGACCACGUUUCCAGAGAGCGGGUGGGAGGAGGUCAGUGGCUACGAUGACUCCAUGAGCCCGAUCAGAACCUACCAGGUGUGCAACGUCCGAGAACCCAAUCAGAACAACUGGCUGAGGACUGACUUCAUCCCCCGUCGGGGUGUGCUCCGCGUCUACGUGGAGCUCAAGUUUUCAGUCCGCGACUGCGCUAGCAUCCCUAACAUCCCGGGCUCCUGCAAAGAGACCUUCAACCUGUUCUACUACGAGUCGGACGGGGACACGGCCACAGACACCAGCCCCCUGUGGAGGGAGAACCCUUACGUCAAGGUGGAUACCAUCGCACCGGACGAGAGUUUCUCGCUGCUGGAGGCGGGCAGGAUCAACACCAAAGUCCGCAGCUUCGGCCCCCUCUCCAAGGCGGGCUUCUACUUGGCCUUCCAGGAUCUGGGGGCCUGCAUGUCUCUCAUCUCAGUUCGGGUCUUUUUCAAGAAAUGCUCCACCACCAUUGCCAACUUCGCCGUCUUCCCUGAGACCGCCACCGGAGCGGAAGCCACUUCCUUGGUGAUUGCUCCGGGAGCCUGUGUGACCAAUGCCAUGGAGGUUUCCGUCCCUUUAAAGCUGUACUGCAACGGGGACGGGGAGUGGAUGGUGCCCGUGGGCUCCUGCACCUGCGUCGCAGGCUUUGAACCCUCAGGAGAAAACACUCAAUGCCAGGCUUGCAUCCCUGGAACCUUCAAAUCCAAAUAUGGAGAGGGAUCUUGUGUCCCGUGCCCGGCUAAAAGUCGCACCAGCGCACGGGGCGCCAGUAUUUGCCCCUGCCAGAAUGGCUUCUACCGCGCUGACAUUGACCCUCCGGACUCCUCGUGCACCACCAUCCCAUCAGCACCACGCAACCUAAUAUCCAGCGUGAACGAGACCUCGCUGUCCUUGGAGUGGGACGAGCCUGAUGACACAGGUGGGCGGAGUGACCUGGUUUACAACGUCGUGUGCAAGAAGUGUCUGCGAGACAGCAGCCCGUGCAUGCGCUGCGACGACAACGUGGAGAUCUCGCCGCGCCGCCUGGGCCUCAGGCUCAGGAAGGUGGUGGUGAGGAAGCUGCAGGCCCACACCCGCUACAGCUUCGAGGUGCAGGCCGUCAACGGGGUCUCCGGGAAGAACCACACCUCCCCCAGCUACUCUACAGUCAACAUCACCACCAACCAGGCUGCGCCAUCAGCAGUGCCCACGGUUCACCUGAUGCGGUCCACUGCAGACACUCUCAGCCUAUCCUGGUUGCCCCCAGAGAAACCCAACGGGGUCAUCCUUGACUACGAGAUUAAAUACCAGGAGAGGGGCCAGGCCAUGUCCCACACUGUGACGUCUCAGCACAGCUCUGCCAAGGUGGAGGGUUUGAGGGCGGCUACACCCUACGUGGUGCAGGUCAGGGCUCGCACUGUGGCCGGGUACGGGCGCUACAGCAACCCCAUGGACUUCAGCACCAGCUUGCACAGUGACCCGCAGAAGUCCGUGCAGGACCAGCUGCCCCUCAUCGUGGGCUCGGCGUCCGCCGGUCUGGUGGUCAUCGUUGCUCUGGUGGUUAUCGCCGUCGUCUGUCUGAAGAAGCAGCGCAGCGGGUCAGAGCUGGAGUACACGGAGAAGCUGCAGCAGUACAUCUCUCCAGGUGUAAAAGUUUACAUUGAUCCCUUCACCUACGAAGAUCCCAACGACGCUAUCCACGAAUUCGCCAAAGAGAUCGACAUCUCCUGCGUGAAGAUAGAAGAAGUCAUCGGUGCAGGCGAAUUUGGCGAGGUGUGUCGCGGACGUCUAAAGCAGCCCGGACGCAGGGAGAUGGUGGUGGCGAUUAAAACCUUAAAGGCAGGAUACACCGAGCGCCAGAGGCGGGACUUCCUGGCAGAGGCCUCCAUAAUGGGUCAGUUUGACCACCCCAACGUCAUCCGGCUGGAGGGCGUUCUGACCCGGAGCUGCCCAGUCCUCAUCAUUACUGAGUUCAUGGAGAACGGAGCGCUGGACUCCUUCCUCAGGCUGAACGACGGGCGCUUCACCAUGACGCAGCUGGUGGGGAUGCUGCGCGGCAUCGCCGCCGGGAUGAAGUACCUGUCGGACAUGAACUACGUGCACAGAGACCUCGCCGCCCGGAACAUCCUGGUGAACAGCAACUUGGUCUGCAAGGUCUCCGAUUUUGGCCUGUCGCGCUUCCUGGACGACACUUCCGCCGACCCCACUUACACAAGCUCGCUGGGAGGAAAAAUUCCCAUUCGGUGGACGGCGCCCGAAGCCAUCGCCUUCAGGAAGUUCACCACCGCCAGUGAUGUGUGGAGUUACGGCAUCGUCAUGUGGGAGGUGGUGUCCUACGGAGAAAGGCCUUACUGGGACAUGAGUAACCAGGAUGUCAUGACUGCAGUAGAGCAGGACUACCGGUUGCCCCCGCCCAUGGACUGUCCCAUGGUGUUGCACCAACUGAUGCUGGAGUGCUGGAUGAAGGAGAGGAACCUGAGGCCCAAAUUCUCCCGCAUCGUCAGCACCUUGGACAAGCUGCUCCGUAACGCCGCCAGCCUUAAGGUGGUGACCAGCAGCUACUCAGGCCAUGAGAUCUAAGUGUGUGGACUCUGCACAGCUGAGCUCCACUGACACUGAGAUGGAUUACACCUUCACCCACCUUCAGUGAGAGCGCUCGGCAGGGGACCUGCUGCGGCUGGGGGGAACGCUGCCGGGAAACAACAGGAAGAGCCUGGACAACAGUCAGGAAAUCAUCCGCCAGCAGAUGAGCCAAACUCUCCCGAUCAGAGUGUGACGGCUGCAAAACCAGAAGAAAAAUAAACAAACUCUGACACAGAGAUGUAAAAUGUAAACAAAAAAAAAAUGGAGGAUGGAGAAGAAGCAAGCCGCUUUGGAGAUUUCUUUCCCACUGGAGACUGAACAUCUGUACAAAGAGAACUUCCUCCCAUCGCAGUGUGUGUCUUUCAUUACUUGACACUUGUGGAUUUGUGACUGUUGACAUGAAGCCAAACUUCUUUUUUGCUCCCUCUCAGGUUGUGUUUGCAUGCCUGCAUGUGUUUUCUGCUGGUUGGGGGAAUCAGUCUUCUCUUCAGCCUCAACAGUGCCAAGAUGGAGCAAAACAUUUGCUCAAAGUCAAACUCCCAAAACAGCUUCAAUCUACACUUUUUUCCCCUAACUUGACCAAAUAUGUUUUUUUUUCUUUUUUUUUGUCUGCUUAUUUAGAGAAAAAGAAAAAAAAAAGUUCUUCUGCUUCCUUUGAAAUACUGUCUUCCACAUGUACCGGGAGAUGCGAGAAAUCUGUACAAAGCAUCCCAGUCUUAACACGCCCCCUCCUUUGGAUUGAUGAUUAGAGGGGGGGUAAAUGACACUGUGCAGGACACGUUACGUGCAUGCCAAAAUGGAAACUGCUUCCCGAGAAAAGUACCGAUAAGUAGUUUCAUUCAGAUGUUUUUGGGCUUUUAGGGACGGGUUUUUCUUAAUAGAGCUCCAUUUAUAUACUCCUUGUUUUGAAUGCUAACUUAUCUGUUCAGAAAGAAAUAUUAUUUGUUCUGUUUUUUUUUACCUGGGCUUAACUUUUAUAUUAUAAUGCUUGUUUCCUUUAGUAGGAUCCGGACAGACUUGAAUGAAAGAGCUGAGAAAGAUUUGGACGAAAAAUGCUUUUACAAAAAAAAAAAAAUAAAGUAGGAAUGUAAAAGGACUGAAAAACGGAAAGGUAAUCUGCAAAUAAAAGUGUAAAACGAGUCACUUUUCUUGAAGAACAUGGGCUGUUGAGGCGGUUCUUAUUCAAAAACAGCUUCCUGUAAAUAAUAUAUUUGUAUGGGGGAAAUUUGCGCCGCACAGUCCAGCUUUCUGACAUGUCUAUGACCCUUGUUUAUAUGCUUGUUGGGUUUCCGUUGUUGCGGCGCCGACUCAUGAAGAAAUGACAUUUAAACAAACCUGGAAGUGUCCACUAUGUGAAAGAAGAAAUGUGUCUGGUAGGGGCAGCGUUUUUUCCUGUGCAAUUAAAGGUGUAUUAGAUUGUAAAAAUAAAAAAAAAGGAAGUUGAGAGAACUAGAACAAAGAUAAGCAUUUCUCUUUCAGUAUUUUUACGAUAAUCAUAUGCAAAUAAAUUAUUAAACAGA